RNAcentral lists this ribosomal RNA (594 nucleotides) under uncultured freshwater bacterium. Its description in RNAcentral is "bacterial SSU rRNA". It matches the Rfam family "Bacterial small subunit ribosomal RNA", at positions 8 to 597 of the family's 1533-position model. The record is from RNAcentral.
AGAGUUUGAUCCUGGCUCAGAUUGAACGCUGGCGGCAUGCCUUACACAUGCAAGUCGAACGGCAGCACGGGUGCUUGCACCUGGUGGCGAGUGGCGAACGGGUGAGUAAUAUAUCGGAACGUACCUUAUCGUGGGGGAUAACGCAGCGAAAGCUGCGCUAAUACCGCAUACGCCCUGAGGGGGAAAGCGGGGGACCGUAAGGCCUCGCGCGAUUAGAGCGGCCGAUAUCUGAUUAGCUUGUUGGUGGGGUAAAAGCCCACCAAGGCGACGAUCAGUAGCUGGUCUGAGAGGACGAUCAGCCACACUGGGACUGAGACACGGCCCAGACUCCUACGGGAGGCAGCAGUGGGGAAUUUUGGACAAUGGGGGCAACCCUGAUCCAGCAAUGCCGCGUGAGUGAAGAAGGCCUUCGGGUUGUAAAGCUCUUUUGUCAGGGAAGAAACAGCAGCUCUAACACAGUCUGCGAAUGACGGUACCUGAAGAAUAAGCACCGGCUAACUACGUGCCAGCAGCCGCGGUAAUACGUANGGUGCAAGCGUUAAUCGGAUUACUGGGCGUAAAGCGUGCGCAGGCGGUUAUACAAGACAGGCGUGA